RNAcentral lists this ribosomal RNA (253 nucleotides) under uncultured bacterium. RNAcentral describes it as "partial 16S ribosomal RNA". It matches the Rfam family "Bacterial small subunit ribosomal RNA", at positions 524 to 776 of the family's 1533-position model. The record is from RNAcentral.
UACGUAGGUGGCGAGCGUUGUCCGGAUUUACUGGGCGUAAAGAGCGCGCAGGCGGCUGGGCAAGUCCGAUGUGAAAGCUUCCGGCUUAGCUGGAAAAUUGCAUCGGAAACUGCUCGGCUUGAAGGUGGGGGAGGGUAGCGGAAUUCCCGGUGUAGUGGCGAAAUGCGUAGAUAUCGGGAGGAACACCAGUGGCGAAGGCGGCUACCUGGCCCACGCUUGACGCUGAGGCGCGAAAGCUAGGGGAGCAAACGGG